CAGUGCCGGGCACCGAGAGCCGGGGAGCCCCGCGUUUUCUCAGCAAUUCGUCAAGGUUGGCGACGAGCGAGGCCUGGACGCUGGGACCAGCACCCCACCCUCCAGGACCGCGUACAGGCUGGAACAAGAAGUUCCUGACCCGGGGGAGGCCUGAAUCUGCCCGUUUUUCCCAUCCGGAGAGGCCUCCCCAUCAUAUAUAGGACCGUCUGGCUCUGUAGACACGGGGGACGGAGACCCCCUUAUCCCUGCUGAAGCAGAUGAUGUUACAGAAGAAAUAACCAUGAGAAGCUAAAUCUUGAGUGCUGAGGGAAAACCAUUUUCUACCCAGCAGGGAUCCAGUUCAGGUACAGAGUCAUGAUGACCAAAGGAACAGCCAUCAUCCCUAAUGUAAGAUGUGGGAGACGUCGGGCUGCUGGUUCCACGGUAAUUCACGGCCCAGGCACCUGUGGUAAAAGUUCUUCGUGAUUUAUUAAACCUGCUUAUCUUCUGUGCGCAUAAUCCAGCUCAGCUAGCCCGGGGAGCGGCUCAGAAGGUACGCAGACUUGCAGUCGGCAACCUGCACUCUUCCUUUGCGUGGGCACGGAGUCUGUUACUGGGUUGUGCUGUCUGGAUCACAGCGUGUCUACACAGGCUGCUGGGCUUGGAGACAGGCCGCGGGAAGAGGUGUGCAGCAUUAGCCGGGGGGACAACACCCACCUUCCCAACACCGCCCCUGCGCUCUCGAUGGCUCGGCGCAAUAAAGACGUAC
This is a long non-coding RNA of Prionailurus viverrinus (fishing cat), 748 nucleotides long. RefSeq lists it as uncharacterized. Lineage: Eukaryota; Metazoa; Chordata; Mammalia; Carnivora; Felidae. The record is from RefSeq and is a predicted model, not a curated record. The transcript has 4 exons.